RNAcentral lists this ribosomal RNA (431 nucleotides) under Pseudomonas sp. RNAcentral describes it as "bacterial SSU rRNA". It matches the Rfam family "Bacterial small subunit ribosomal RNA", at positions 355 to 778 of the family's 1533-position model. RNAcentral also lists the same sequence under 2 other names. The record is from RNAcentral. Lineage: Bacteria; Pseudomonadati; Pseudomonadota; Gammaproteobacteria; Pseudomonadales; Pseudomonadaceae.
UGGGGAAUAUUGGACAAUGGGCGAAAGCCUGAUCCAGCCAUGCCGCGUGUGUGAAGAAGGUCUUCGGAUUGUAAAGCACUUUAAGUUGGGAGGAAGGGCAGUUACCUAAUACGUGAUUGUUUUGACGUUACCGACAGAAUAAGCACCGGCUAACUCUGUGCCAGCAGCCGCGGUAAUACAGAGGGUGCAAGCGUUAAUCGGAAUUACUGGGCGUAAAGCGCGCGUAGGUGGUUUGUUAAGUUGGAUGUGAAAUCCCCGGGCUCAACCUGGGAACUGCAUUCAAAACUGACUGACUAGAGUAUGGUAGAGGGUGGUGGAAUUUCCUGUGUAGCGGUGAAAUGCGUAGAUAUAGGAAGGAACACCAGUGGCGAAGGCGACCACCUGGACUGAUACUGACACUGAGGUGCGAAAGCGUGGGGAGCAAACAGGAU